CGAGAAUCGUAAAGAUGGCCGUUCAUGAUGCUCAAGUGAAAAAUGUAACGACCAUUGAAAAUGACAAUUCUGACGAAAGUGAUCAUUUGGACAUUGACGGAGCGGCCAAACACGAUGGGAAGAAACACAAGGCAAAGAAAAAGCACAAGACUAAGCACAAACACAAGAAAAAAUCGACAAAAGAUGACAUUGACUUGGCCGAGAAUAGCGGGAAAAAAACAGACAAGAGAAAAUCAAAAAAGGAACUCACGGCUGACAAUUCACAAGGAAAUAAUGUGAUCGAUGCUGCUUUGGAAGAUUUAGAGAAAAGAAGGAAGUUCUUGGAAUCCCAGUUGGCGGCUGAAGAAAAGAAUGGGUUUGACGAUGCAAAAAUUUCUGAAAAUAAAACAGUUAAAAAUGAUAGCAAAUUAGAAAAAGAUUAUAAAAUUUCUGAUAAAAAGAGGAAGUACGAAGAUGAUGUGAUACUGUCAUCAAUUAAUCAAGAGUUUUUAGGUGAAGUUAAGAGGUCUAAAAGACAUCAGAGCCCAUCUGAGGAGCCCAAGGUUAGAGAGAAAAGUAGAAAGUCUGGUUAUCAAAAGGAAAAUAAGUCGGACAAUUCUCAUGAAGGAAAAGAAAGGUCUUCGAAGAGAGAACAUUUUGAUGGAAAUUCAGAGAAAGUGAUCUCAGAUAGAAUGAUGCCAAGAGGAGGUGAUAAUAAGGAAGGAAGGAAUGAGAAAGUCGAGAAUGAUUCCAAGAAUUCUGAUUCAAGGAUUUCCAAGAAACAUGGUGAGGCAAGAAAGAGACAAAGCAGCUCUCCAAAGGCAGAUGACGAGGCCACUAAAAGACAAAAAGAAUCACCUUCAAAGGAUAUCUUGAAGUCAGAGGGUAGCAACAACAAGGACACAAAGCAUAGAAGUUCUAAUAGAGACAAGCGUGACAGUUCAAGGGAAGCUCAUUCAUCACAAGGUAGGAAUCAUGAUAAAUCUUCUUCAAAACAACGAUCGGAUGAGAGCACAAGGAAACGAAGCAAGUCACCCAGCAAUCGCUCUCUUGUAACCUCUGAGAAGAGAGAAAGAUCACCAAAUAAGAGAGAUGGAACUCCUUCAAAGAGAAAUACAUCAUCUCCAAGGAAAGAUACAUCUUCCAAAAUGGAUGAAACUAGAUCAAAAAGAGAUUCCUCUCCUUCAAAACGAAAAACUUCUCCAUCAAAUUUUGAAGGCAGUCGUAACAAAAGAGAUCUCUCUCAAUCAAAAGAGGAGAAUUCUGUGUCUAAAACUACCCCAUCUCAGAGAAGAGCAUCUUCUCGCAGCAAGGAAAGGCCUAACAAGACUAGAAGUAGCUCUCCAAAUAAAAGAGAUCAGAGCUCCAUUCAGAAGAGAAGCAGGAGUCCACAAGACCAGAGAAGCAGCCAGCGUAAGAGCAGAUCCCCUUCGAGAAAGAAGAGAUCUCCGAGGCUAAAAAGCAAAUCCCCCAGACGGGAACAGCGGUUAAGCGGACGCAAUCGUUCGCCUCACGACAGAUCGAAGGACGGUUCGGGAAAACGACGUCGCAGUAGCUCACGUGACAGAAGGUCGCGUGAGGAAAGGUCACGUGACGAAAGGUCACGUGACAGACGGCAUCAUUCCAGGAGAAGCCGGUCGCCUCAUCGUUCGAAGAGCGACAAGUCGAAGAAAGACGAGGAAAAGAAGGAGGACUCAGACCAUGAUAUGUACAAUUUUGAGUUGAAAGAAGAUGAUGAAGACGAAGAUGAAAUUAUUGAAAAACGACGACAACAACGUCUCGCUAUCCUACAGAAGUACAAACAUCGCGAAUACUCCGACUCUCCAGUUGUUUCUGCGGUCAGUUCUCCCACGGCCAGUGAGCUGAGUGUGAAAGAUGAAGUGAUUCAUGUUCAGAAAGAUGCGACGGAGAAAGAAGCGCCAAAGAUUGAGGAGAAAGUCGAAGAAUCUGACAUGUUCGCCGAUGAAUAUAAGGCUCCAGAAGUGUCAAAGUUAACUGUGAAAGAGAACGAGGACCCAAGUUUAACGGAUAAUUGGGACGAUGCAGAAGGCUAUUAUCGUGUCCGUAUUGGCGAACUACUUGACAAGCGUUACGAGAUCUACGGUUAUACUGGUCAGGGUGUCUUCAGUAAUGUCGUGAGAGGACGUGAUCAAGCACGUGGCAAACAGGAUGUUGCAAUUAAAAUUAUUCGAAAUAAUGAAAUGAUGCAUAAAAGUGGUCUGAAAGAGUUGGAAAUUCUGAAGAAACUAAACGAUGCGGAUCCUGAUGACAAAUACCACUGCAUUCGUUUGUUUCGACAUUUCUUUCACAAGAAACAUCUUUGCCUCGUAUUUGAACCUAUGAGUCUCAACUUGCGCGAAGUGUUGAAGAAAUACGGACAAAAUGUUGGCCUUCACAUCAAGGCUGUUCGUUCAUAUUCGCAGCAAUUGUUUCUAGCGUUGAAGUUGAUGAAGAAAUCUGGUAUUCUUCAUGCUGACAUCAAACCAGAUAAUAUUUUGGUGAGCUCCAACAAAUUGGUCGUAAAGUUGUGUGAUUUUGGUUCAGCAUCGCUUGUGUGUGAUAACGAUAUUACACCGUAUCUGGUCAGCAGGUUCUACAGAGCUCCAGAGAUCAUCAUUGGCAACACAUACGACUACGCCAUCGACCUUUGGAGCGUGGGUUGUACAAUCUUCGAGCUGUACACAGGAAAGAUCACGUUCCCGGGAAAAUCGAAUAAUGAAAUGUUAAAACUGAUGAUGGAAGCCAAGGGGAAGAUGCCGAACAAGAUGAUACGAAAGGGAAUGUUCAAGAACCAACAUUUCGAUGAAAAUUGUAAUUUCCUCUUCGCGGAAGUCGAUAAAGUAACCCAACGAGAAAAAGUGACGGUAAUGUCGACGGUGAAUGCCACAAAGGAGCUCACGGAGUCUUUGGUAGACUCGCACAAAACUCAAGACGACCUCAAGCGAAAGGUGACCCAGUUCAAAGAUCUUAUCGACAAGCUCCUCAUGCUGGAUCCGUCCAAACGUCUGGUUGUCAAUCAAGCCUUGACUCAUCCGUUUAUUACCGAGAGAAUGCAGACUUGAAACUGGCGUAAACUCAACCUGUAAGCCCUAGAGAGGUUAACCUUUUAUUCAUUUAGAGAGUUUGUAGUCUAACUUGAUUUACUUACUAGAGACACAGGCCAUGCAGAUGAGUAGUGUAUCAUACUGUGCACGGGAAUAAGAAUUUCUACUUCGGAAUCCCUGAACACGUUUGAAAGCAUUGCGUCGUCAUUAUAUUGUUCUUUUGCAAUGUUUUUUGGAUAUCCUUUGGGACACAAAUUCCUGAAAUGAUUUAGGAGCAAUUUUCUUCGGUGAGGAUGUUUUCGAUGGUAAGAAAAUGUUAAGGGGGAAAUAGUCAAGGAGUUUUGCUGAGACUUUUUAUAUGUGAUCCGCGAUUGGAGAAGACGUGUCCAGAGAGACGGCAUUUUAAGUGCACUAGAUAACCGUGUUUAUAGAUUUGAUCCUUGCAACGAUCACAAUUGUAUUGUAGCUCUUAGAUACAAGUGGUCUGUGCCAUACCAACCAUGUGGUCAAUCCUUCACGCCCAAAAAUUUAUCUUCUGAAAGCGUUGGAUCGCUCUGUUUGGAACCUCGUUGAUGAUUCCAUGAAGUGCCAUGUUUUGUUUUGAAGAUUCGAUUGGAGGAAGAUUUGUCGCCAAGGAGAGGUUAAGAGGUACAAAUUAAAAGAGAUUUCUUUUAAGCGACGAAAUGCCACGAUUUCCGUUUGAAUCUUUUUGCUAAAUGGCGACGUUUUUUGAAGAUUCUUUGAAGAUUUUUUGAAGAUUUCGCCGGCUUUAUUCGUUUCUAUCUCGUGAACGAACGUAUAUUUUUUCGUGGAUUUCGCUAUGCGAAUCUCAGGCAACGAAAGUGGGAAACGACGAUAGCUCGGGUAAACACAGCAGACGGUGAAAAUGCAUCAUG
This 3919-nucleotide unclassified non-coding RNA is filed under the name Dendronephthya gigantea. Its description in RNAcentral is "serine/threonine-protein kinase PRP4 homolog, transcript variant X1". Lineage: Eukaryota; Metazoa; Cnidaria; Anthozoa; Malacalcyonacea; Nephtheidae. The record is from RNAcentral.